AUUUCGAGUGAGUGCAUAUUGCACAAGUGUUCCUUGUGUGUGUGCAGCAUCGUUGCCAACUCCGAAAUAUGAAAAUAGUGAAUUUUGCUGUUGGGCACUUGGAUUUCUAUUAAAAAAUGAGUGGCCGGGUUUAUCAUCUCCGAAGUACGAAAGAUGCGGCAGCAUCUCUGUCGGAUUCGAAAGAGGAGCAUUUUUCCAGUCAAGUUUUCGUACACCUAUUUUUUCAUGACUGAUUAGUUAUCUUAAUUUUAUUUGUGCCAGAGCUAAACAAAUUUCUCUUCAUGGGGUCACUUGUUCUCGAAAUUUUGUAUAAAGUGAGCCUAGGAUGAAGCCAAUGUUUCUAUUUCAUAAAAUGUUUUCAAAUUCUUCAUGAGGUGCCCGAACUGCAUGCGCAGAAUGUGUGACGACCAUCGUGCACCUGUAUGCAUUGAAUGCGAGCGUUUUGCCGAGAACUAAGUACUUCCUUGUAU
This is a long non-coding RNA of Belonocnema kinseyi, 470 nucleotides long. RefSeq lists it as uncharacterized. NCBI's taxonomy places the organism in Eukaryota, Metazoa, Arthropoda, Insecta, Hymenoptera, Cynipidae. The record is from RefSeq and is a predicted model, not a curated record. The transcript has 3 exons.